UCAGUCCUGGGGUGUACGACAACUCCGUUAUUUUGAACCUACAACGAUAAUAAGGGCUUCCGAAUUUGUCCGUGGAAGACACGCCCUCUCGAGGGGACUUCUGAAGCGUACAUGAGGUCGCCCACCUGGCUUUAAUUUUGCUGGGCGUCAAAGUACGGGGAACGGCACUUUGGGAUUUUU
RNAcentral lists this non-coding RNA (180 nucleotides) under Lachnospiraceae bacterium. Its description in RNAcentral is "6S RNA". It matches the Rfam family "6S / SsrS RNA". Rfam says of the family: E. coli 6S RNA was the first non coding RNA to be sequenced, but its function was unknown until recently. It consists of 184 nucleotides that fold into an extended hairpin structure with a large single-stranded internal bulge. Lineage: Bacteria; Bacillati; Bacillota; Clostridia; Lachnospirales; Lachnospiraceae. The record is from RNAcentral.